This 465-nucleotide ribosomal RNA is filed under the name uncultured bacterium. Its description in RNAcentral is "partial 16S ribosomal RNA". It matches the Rfam family "Bacterial small subunit ribosomal RNA", at positions 338 to 795 of the family's 1533-position model. The record is from RNAcentral.
CCUACGGGUGGCAGCAGUAGGGAAUCUUCCACAAUGGGCGAAAGCCUGAUGGAGCAACGCCGCGUGGGUGAAGAAGGUCUUCGGAUCGUAAAACCCUGUUGUUAGAGAAGAAAGUGCGUGAGAGUAACUGUUCACGUUUCGACGGUAUCUAACCAGAAAGCCACGGCUAACUACGUGCCAGCAGCCGCGGAAAUACGUAGGUGGCAAGCGUUAUCCGGAUUUAUUGGGUGUAAAGGGAACGCAGGCGGUCUUUUAAGUCUGAUGUGAAAGCCUGCGGCUUAACCGGAGUAUUGCAUUGGAUACUGGGAGACUUGAGUGCAGAGGAGGUGGGUGGAACUCGAGGUGUAGCGGUGAAAGGCGUAGAUAUAUGGAAGAACACCAGUGGCGAAGGCGGCUCUCUAAUCUGUGACUGACAUUGAGGUUCGAAAGCGUGGGUAUCAAACAGGAUUAGAUACCCUUGUAGUC